CGCCGAGGCUCCGCCCCGCACCUGAUUGGCCUCGAGAACCCAAGGAGGCGGUGGGUUAUCUCAGCGCGGCACAAAGGAGGCGCAUUGAGAAAGGGGAGGGGUUGUCAGCGACUUCGAGAGUCUCUGCAUACUCUCCUCCAACAAACAACCAGAUAUCUAGGAAAUAAAAGGAUGCCCAGUGGAGAAAGUCCCCUGGCUCCUCCUGAAUCUCAUGCAAAAGGCUGGAACUCUCAAUCCCUGACAGCUUCUGGAUCCUUCCUUCAGCAUCAAACUGCAAGAUGGCAGCCUUCUGGCUAGACUACAACCAGUCUCAGUGAUGUGUACAUGUGUGCUAAGUCGCUUCAGCCAUCUCCUGAAUUGUACUUCAGGUUUAAGUAUUGCAUCGGGCAUUUGGUGAGUAGCUUAAUAUUCCAUGCGGUUAGUGGGAUUUCUAGCAGGAGCCCCUGAGGCCCUGUCAGGAGGUUUGUUCUUUGAUAUGCCUUCUUCCACUAUCAAGUUUCACUAAUAUCUUUACUGUGCAAGAAGGAAGUCUUUGGUUCUU
This 541-nucleotide long non-coding RNA is filed under the name Capra hircus (goat). Its description in RNAcentral is "lncRNA (ENSCHIG00000006981.1)". The record is from RNAcentral. Lineage: Eukaryota; Metazoa; Chordata; Mammalia; Artiodactyla; Bovidae.